AGAUGUGAGGGCGAUCUGACUGUAGCAUCUGUCACCCCGUUGAUCACUACGGUUGACUCGGCCGAUCUGGCUGGCUAGGCGGUGUCCCCUUCCUCCCUCACCCCUCCAUGUGCGUCCCUCUCAAAGCUUCAUGCUCAGUCGAAGAGGACGACCACCCCCGACAGAGAAGGACCGUUUCCUCGGUCAAGGGUAUACAAGUAGCUGCACUCCCCCGCUAGAGCCUCCAAACAAGCUCUCAAGGGCAAGUAAAAGUUAAUUUAGAGUCACACAUGAGCAGAUCAGUGACUGCAAAAGCAGGACAAUAUCU
This is an unclassified non-coding RNA of Fukomys damarensis (Damara mole-rat), 307 nucleotides long. Its record names the gene 7SK. It matches the Rfam family "7SK RNA". From Rfam's summary of the family: 7SK was discovered as an abundant small nuclear RNA in the mid-70s but a possible function has only recently been suggested. Two independent studies have found that 7SK RNA binds the CDK9/cyclin T complex (known as elongation factor P-TEFb). NCBI's taxonomy places the organism in Eukaryota, Metazoa, Chordata, Mammalia, Rodentia, Bathyergidae. The record is from Ensembl.